GGCGGCACCAGUCGCUCCUCUCAAAUCGCGAAACACGUCCCGGCGCCCUCGAGGACGAAAAUCGCGAGUCCAGCUCUCUUUUUUUCUCUCUCUUUCUCUUUCCGCGCGCGCCUCUCUCUCUCUUUCUCUCUCUUUCUCACACACACAUACUCACUCACUCAGUCACUCACUCACUCACUCACUCACUCACUCAGUCACUCAGUCACUCACUCACUCACUCUCUCUCUUUCUCUCUCUCUGUGCAUGUGUGUACGCGCGUGUGCUUGAUUUUUCCACCAAUACCAUCACUUCCACCUGCUACUUCGACUCUCUGUUUUUCCCAUCGUCGCGAGUUAUCCGAACAAUCGCGUCGUGUACUAAUACGGGUUAAAUCCAGAGGAGGGAGAAACGCGAAAGACGCGUCGCCAACGAGAUGGACCAGAAACAGGAGGACAUCGGAAAACGGUGAACGAAGAAAGAAUCGCGAAACGGAUACGAGAGAUUAUUUCGAACGGAAGUUGGGUGCGAGGAUCGAGGUUGGAGAGGAGUCGUUCGACUCUCGUCGGAAAACCUCGUAUGUAUCUCGAGGGCAACCGGAAGAGCUUGCGGAGACAUUUGUCCGCGUGCAAAUACGGUGCGUUUAGAUCGACUAAUUCGUCUCCGAUUGACGCGUUAUCUCGAGUGGGAUUAUCGAGUUACCAUGUGGAAAAGCACGAUCGGACGCGCAAUGUGCGCUACGUAGGUGUCGCGUGUGUUGACCGAGACGAGAACCGUUGAUCGUCGGUGAUCGUAGUGUUUGGGUUCUUUGUGCCGAAUGAAUAGCCAAUUUUCCAAUUGAAAAAUAUAGUCGUGAAUACCGUAUACCGUAAUCGCGAGGCCAUUACCACGGAACUAAAAUACUUUCCUCCUUCCAAAACGAUACAUCCGUCCAGUGCAAACAUCUCGAGAGACAACGAAGGCCGAAUAACGCAAUCCACAGGAUUUCGAAGACAGAUCGGGUCCAGAAGACGCCGCGCCGUUGCUGGUUAAAAAAAAAGAAAAGAAAAGAAAAGCGUGCCAAAGUGAAACAGCAAACUCGUUCAUCGAGGAGGUUGUUGCGAAUAAGAAAAGUUGGAGACUCGAUGCUCGCGUAGAAAGCGUGCGCGUAUAGAGUCGAAUUUGUAAUUCGCUAAAGAAAAUGAGACGGCAGAGAGAGAGAGAAAGAGAGAGAGGAAUCAGGAGAAGGAAAGGUGGCUUGGAGGAAUCGGCACGGGCGGCUUAAUAGUCUGAUAGUCUGAUAGACUGAUAGGCUGAUAGGAGCGUGAGCUGCGAAUGAAAAAGCGCGCGAGAGCGUUGGCCGGGUCUCGCGAGGACAAAAAAUGAACGAAAGCGCGGUCUACCUACUCGGAUCGGAACAAGAGGUAAUCGUGCCGAGUAAACAGCUGAACAGAAGCUUUUACAGCGGCAGCUAUCCGUCGCAGAAUAGCAGUUACGAGGAUCUGUGGAACCUAGCCACGGACAGAGCCGGUUUAGCGAUAGUUUUGUUCGUAUUCUCGGUGGCCACCGUAUUCGGUAAUACGUUGGUGAUCCUGGCGGUGGUCAGGGAAAGAUACCUUCACACGGCAACCAAUUAUUUCAUCACGUCGUUGGCGUUCGCAGACUGCCUAGUCGGGCUGGUGGUGAUGCCGUUCAGCGCGAUCUACGAGGUGCUGGAAAACCGGUGGCUGUUCACGCACGACUGGUGCGACGUUUGGCGAUCGUUGGAUGUGCUCUUCUCGACUGCGUCCAUUUUGAACCUGUGCGUCAUCAGCCUAGACCGUUACUGGGCGGUCACCGAUCCGUUUACUUAUCCGAGAAGAAUGACCAGAAGACGGGCCGCUAUUUUGAUCGGCAUCGUCUGGAUCUGCUCGAGCGCGAUCUCGUUUCCGGCUAUCGCUUGGUGGAGGGCGGUAAGAACGGAAGAGGUGCCGGAGGACAAGUGUCCAUUUACCGAGCACCUGGGCUACCUGAUUUUCUCCUCCACUAUCAGCUUCUACGUGCCGUUAUUCGUGAUGGUGUUCACCUAUUACAAAAUCUACCGAGCCGCCGUGAUUCAAACGAGAAGCCUCAAGCUGGGCACCAAACAGGUUAUCAUGGCCUCCGGUGAAUUGGAGCUCACUCUGAGGAUACAUCGAGGGGGCGGGACCAACACGGACGCUAGGCAUCUCUUCCGGACCGCUUCGAGCACACCCGAGGAUCUGCAAGAUCUCGAGGAACCGCUGACGGCGAUACAGAACAACUGUCUAACCAGAGUACCAUCAACGAGGAUCACGAAGCAGCAUUUGGGAAAAAAUUUUUCCCUCUCGCGCAAGCUAGCCAAAUUCGCCAAGGAGAAGAAAGCCGCCAAAACUCUAGGGAUCGUGAUGGGCGUCUUCAUCAUUUGUUGGCUGCCGUUUUUCGUCGUGAACCUUUGGUCGGGUUUUUGCACGCAAUGCAUAUGGCAGGAGGAAAUCGUGUUUGCCGCCGUCACGUGGCUCGGUUGGAUCAACAGUGGAAUGAAUCCAGUUAUUUACGCUUGCUGGAGCAGAGAUUUUAGAAGAGCUUUCGCGAGGAUUCUUUGCGGCUGCUGCCCUAGACGAAUGAGACGACGAUAUCAGCCAGCAUUUAGAUGUAAACCAAGCCAAAGAUUUGCAUCCGGAAGAUACUACUCUGCGUACUCGCUCCACCACGUGCGAACCAGCCAAGAGAGUUCGUGCGAGCAAACAUACAUUUAACGAUGGGAUAAAUGGUCAGGACGCGGAUGUCCUCUGUCGUUGGACACCACCUCGAAACCUUUCUCGAUUCCUUCGCGUUCCUUUUCUAUCCAUCGCCAUCGCCAUCGCCAUCGAAGCAUCGUCUACAUCGAGACAAUUCUAUCUAGUACCUAGUACCUAGUACCUAGUACCUAGUACCUAGUCGUCCGAAGACGCUUAGCACAGAUUAUCGCCAAAGGACUCUGUCAACAUCCUCGUAUUGCGUUGCCUCGUACGUUUCCGGAACGAAUGUCGGCGGACAGGCCAGCAGCGUCAGUUACAGUAGCGUGAGUCAAAGCAGCGACGGUGGUACCGCGAGUGGGUUGGCAAGCGGCGGGAUCUGACGUCACACUGGGGCCCGGAACGGGCCUCG
RNA transcript from Hylaeus anthracinus, 3102 nucleotides. It is a transcript of the gene named dopamine receptor 2, with no coding region annotated. The record is from RefSeq and is a predicted model, not a curated record. The transcript has 6 exons. NCBI's taxonomy places the organism in Eukaryota, Metazoa, Arthropoda, Insecta, Hymenoptera, Colletidae.